Molecule: long non-coding RNA, 1663 nt
Organism: Lepidothrix coronata (blue-crowned manakin)
Lineage: Eukaryota; Metazoa; Chordata; Aves; Passeriformes; Pipridae
Exons: 4
Source: RefSeq, a predicted model, not a curated record
GGUAUCAAAUUUAUUAAAAAAUCAUUGGGAAUCGUGUUUUUUCUGUCUAUCUGAAUAUUUUGAAUAUUCCUUUUUUUUUCCCAUGUCUGUAACAGUAUGUUAAAACUUUAUGCUGAAGAACAGCAUAAGAAAUGGUAGCAAAAAUAGGAUGGAAGUACCUCUUCAAAUCUGAACUAAGCUAGAACUUCAGUUACAUGAUAUAUGCAAUACUUAUUUAACAAAUUUAUUGUAUUAAUGUACUAAUAAAAUCCUUCCAUGCUAUAAUUUUUAAUAAUUACAGAAUAAAUUACUGAAAAAAAGAAUCUCUGAUAACUAAUUUUUAAUUACUUUAUGUGACAAUUGUCUAAUAGAAGAUGUUCUGAGCUAGUUUGUAUGUCUGCUUAGAUAUUCAAGGGAAAUCAACAGCUAACUCAAUACAUUAGAUUUUAGUAUGUAGGUUAAAGGCCCUCAUGAAAAAUCCUUUGCCUAUGGGGAAAAUAACUGACUUGUAUUUUUUGAUUAACUAACAUAAAACCAAAAAAAUUUUAGCUGCAGAAAGGAUAAUGCUAGUCACUUGAGCUUCCCACUCACUUUACUCUCUCAUAUUCUUUUGCCUGCUGCUUUCCCCUGUUCUUUUUAAAAACUGUGCUUUAAAAUAGUCUACUUCUAGCCAGAUGUAAUAUUUGAAACCAGCACCAAUAAGACACUGCAGGUUUGUUUCCAUAUGCAAAGGUGCUUUUCUUAGUAUUGAGGUUAUGCCAACGUGUCCAAGUAUAUUAAUGACCACAGGCAAAAAACCCAACACUUUCCAUAAAGAAUCUAAUUAAUACACAACACAUAACAAAUUACGAGAAGCCAAAGUGUAAGGUUAAAUAGCCUUAACAUUAAAUUCUUCUUUUUUUCCUUGAUCAUGGGCUAUGUGGGGCACCUUAUCUCCUUCUGUGAUCAAGAGAGAGAAAAGAGCAACUGAGAGGUGUUCAUAGUAUGUGAAAUUCAUCAUCUUCUGGAGGUGUCUUUGAGCCAUUCUGAUGAGAACAGAACUUUCUUCUUAACUGAGCAUGGGUCUUCAGAGACAACCCUGGCAUGGACACUGUGCAACAGCUCUGGGUGCUUCACAUCAACUCAUUCCCAGUGGAAUGUAUAUAUUGUGAAAAAUAUCCAUCAUCGUGGUUGCACCUUGAAUGUAAGAAAUACUUAGAGAUAUUACGGCUGAAAGUGGGGUAGCUACCUGAUAUUCAGCCAGUGUAAGAGCAAUGCUGAGAUAAAUGAGGUGAACAGUCACAUGCUUUAUAGAGACUCAGGACUCAGAACCUAUUGAUUUUUCAAGUUACCUAUGGAAUUCUGCCUUGUGAGGUGCAAAAUGAAAAGGGAAAAUCACAAAACUUGAUAAAAUUCCCCAUGGACCCCACUUUAAUUAACUGUGUGUCCCUGAAGGAUCCUCAAGACUGGAGAAAGGCAUUUGUUAAACAAGGCAACACUUUCUAUGGGAAUGGAAAAUAACUACUCUCUUAAACUUCCUACAAAAAACAAAAAAGCACUAGUUAGGCUGGUUGUAUGAAUUACAUUAUAUAAGGUACAUCUUUUCAGAUGGAAAAUUUGAUGAUUUUCAACUCUUAUAAUGUGGUACUGCUGUUAGUCAAAUUAUUUUUAAUCUAUUUUGGCAGCUUUAUUAGCUUAGCUUGUA